This 323-nucleotide unclassified non-coding RNA is filed under the name fungal sp. RNAcentral's name for it is "partial internal transcribed spacer region". The stretch from base 1 to 46 matches the Rfam family "Eukaryotic small subunit ribosomal RNA", at positions 1786 to 1831 of the family's 1831-position model. Lineage: Eukaryota; Fungi. The record is from RNAcentral.
AAGUCGUAACAAGGUUUCCGUAGGUGAACCUGCGGAAUGAUCAUUAACACGUAUCCAAACGUUAAAACAACCCUGUGAAUAUUGAAUCUCAGUUCCCCCAGGGCAGAAAAAUGGGCUUCCUAUAGUAAAUCAUUGUCUUACCAAGGUUUUGAGUUAGAGGAUGGCGCACGAGUAGCACCUGUAUUGGGUCGAGCGUUUACAACUAUCCACUCCCUGUGGGGCCUAGUUCAUUCAGGUUGAACAUGAUGCAUGUCUACCGCGCCCGACGAAAGUCCGACGCACCCCUAACCGAACAACUGUUAACAAUGGAUAUCUUGGUUCUC